CGGGACACGUGGUAUCCUGUCUGAAUAUGGGGGGACCAUCCUCCAAGGCUAAAUACUCCUGACUGACCGAUAGUGAACCAGUACCGUGAGGGAAAGGCGAAAAGAACCCCGGCGAGGGGAGUGAAAAAGAACCUGAAACCGUGUACGUACAAGCAGUGGGAGCCUCUUUAUGGGGUGACUGCGUACCUUUUGUAUAAUGGGUCAGCGACUUAUAUUCUGUAGCAAGGUUAACCGAAUAGGGGAGCCGAAGGGAAACCGAGUCUUAACUGGGCGUUAAGUUGCAGGGUAUAGACCCGAAACCCGGUGAUCUAGCCAUGGGCAGGUUGAAGGUUGGGUAACACUAACUGGAGGACCGAACCGACUAAUGUUGAAAAAUUAGCGGAUGACUUGUGGCUGGGGGUGAAAGGCCAAUCAAACCGGGAGAUAGCUGGUUCUCCCCGAAAGCUAUUUAGGUAGCGCCUCGUGAAUUCAUCUCCGGGGGUAGAGCACUGUUUCGGCAAGGGGGUCAUCCCGACUUACCAACCCGAUGCAAACUGCGAAUACCGG
RNAcentral lists this ribosomal RNA (546 nucleotides) under Escherichia coli. RNAcentral's name for it is "partial 23S ribosomal RNA". It matches the Rfam family "Bacterial large subunit ribosomal RNA", at positions 418 to 966 of the family's 2925-position model. The record is from RNAcentral. Lineage: Bacteria; Pseudomonadati; Pseudomonadota; Gammaproteobacteria; Enterobacterales; Enterobacteriaceae.